UUAACUUUCCCAACCUAACAAUGCCGCCGAGAGUUCAUCCUUCUGAUUUAUUGACCUUUUAAACCCGCCGGUGCACAGCGCGGGGGCGCAGAGCGGGGAUCCUCCGGCGAGAGAUGUGUUUCUAUUUCAGGUCCAUUACAGAAUGCGGUGUUGGAAGUGGUGCUCCCAGCGUUAUCAGAGCCGACCACAAAUGCCACAUGAAAAGCAGCAAACAUCCGGAGGGUUUCCUGCGAAUCGAGCAGUUUCUCAAGACAAGAGCCCUUUUUUUUUUUUUUUUUUUUUAAAAAAAACCGUGUAUUUAAAGGCAAAACACCCUUUGCCUCUUUAAAGCGGUUCAAAACCACUAAAUGAAAGCAGCCCAGCCCGACAACGCUGCAUAGUGCGAGAAAUCUCCCCGAAUGAAGACUUGUUGGGACUUUGCGUUAGGGAAAGCGUGGGUCAGAGAGGCCCUGGUCGGGAAUGACCCACUCCUGAAUGGCAAAAAAAAAAUUAAAAUAAAAUACAUAAAAAAGAAGAAAAAUGUCCCUUUCAGAAACUCGAUAACUGUCGAAACAACGUUAAGUACUUCACAACAAUUUAACAGUCCCCAACAAUCAAGAACCUACUGGUUCACCUGCGUCAGUUUAACCCGCAAGUCGCUGCCUAGCAGCCGCACCCACACACCCAGGCCCGCAAAAGCUCGCUGCGCGGAGCUGCGCGCAGUCGGAGCGGAGCCGCCCCCGUGGAAAGCGGCACCGCGCCCCGGGUGUGCCGGGUCCGGGCGCGGGGCUAGGGGCACAGCGCUGCUCCGCACGCCCAGCUGCCCGCACCAGCCCUGCGCGGCCUCUUUGGGGUGUGCUAAGCAACGGUGACCCCGCAUUUCAGGACCAAGGGGCGUCCGGCGCGGGGAGAGGGACGCGCGGGGCUCCCGCCCCGAGUGAAGUACAAUGAAGUCUACAAUUUGUCUGCCUGGAAUCCAUUAGUACUCAAUGUUCAGAACACCUUUGACUUCCACCAAGCAGUGAGAAGGGAACUCUACCCCUCAUGGAUCAUGCCUGAUGUGGCUAGCAACUUUAAACAAAAAAGACAACUAAUCUGCAAAACCUCCAAGCUAAAUUGAGCAAUACAGAUACUGAAUCAUAAGACAGCACUGGCUAUACACUAGCCUAUAGGAACUUCACUUCACAGGAGCAAGAAAUUAAUCUGAAAUUGAAACAAGAAGAUAAAGUUAUUCGGUUACCAAAUUACAUACAGGCGUGAGUAUGGAAUCUGGGGAAUCCCUUUGACAGAUGCACAUGGGGUUUAUGUUUAUCUCUCAAGAGAACUCUUACUGUUGAGCACACAAAAUGGUGAAACACUCAAUAGGUAUUUUUUCCACUAAACAGUUAAGUUACAGCACAAUUGAUAGUAUGGUUAGUGACUUUAUGCAUGCGUUUAUAAACCACAGCUUUUUAUGUCAUUAGCUGAGCCUGAAAUUUCAAAUUUCACCUUUCAAAAUUUCCUUAAACAAAAGAAACCACUGCUACUCAUAGGUACCCGCAAGCGGCUAGUAAACAUGCAUUGUCAUUUACUUAUUCAAAGGAAAAAAGUACUCUAAGCUAUUUUUCCCUUUGCUAGAGAUUUUCAAUGAAACAGAAACUUAAGAAAUCUGUAUUUGAAAAUUAGUAGAUUGUGAUAUGUUUUCAGAUGCUGUCCCAAACAGAAGCAGAAGAUUACUUGCACAGCCCUUGCAGAAAUACUUUCCCAGCUUGCUACAUGUGUCCUUGCACAGGUUGAGUUUAUUAGAUUAAAACCAUAGUGGUGAGAAGAGGUAUACAACACUUAUUUAUUCUUAUAGUACUACAAUUAAAACAAUUAAAAACCAGUAGUGUUGCAGCAGUGAGUGGUGAGACAGCUAAAAUGUCACUGCUUACAAAAACUUUAAAUACCAUGUAAUACUAAAGUAUAUAGUUGCCUAAGAUGUAUAAUUAGAUAGGAUUAAAAAACAUUUAUUAUAAAGAUUAGGGACACAGACUGCUGAUUAUUGGCUACUUUUACAAAGCAUAGAUUAUUAUUCAUCUUUUCUCAUAGAAGAAGAGUUUAUAGGUUCACAUAUAUUUAAUGUGAUUUCAUCCACAGAACAGCUAUACGAUACGGUCAUUGUCUAUAUAGGCGUAGGGCAAAAUCUAUCCUGCAAUACUGAAAUAAGAGGUGAGUAGAAAGACAUAGCUGUAUGACAGAAUUUGAUAGCAAAUAUUGUGAAUAAAUUACUUCUUUAGCUCUGUAAAUUUCAGUGAUAUAUCUUAGUUAAAACCUUAAUUAAAUAUAUUUUUACAGAAAGAAUUUAAAUAAUAAUGUGAAUUAAAUACAGUACAUGGCACCAGAAGUAAUUUGGACAUAUCACUAGGAAGAUCACAAGGCAUUCAAGGUUAUAUUUUAAAUUUCUAGCUAGAAUCAUUAAGUCUACAUGAUACAUUCAUUAGGGAAACUUUUUUUUCAAGAACUGAUUAUUACCCACUGCUCUGUUAAAAAUAAUUUAAAAAUGGGUAUCCAGCUUGAAUCUUAGAAGAAGGGUUGUGUGCAAUGUUAAUAGUAUAAAGACAAUUUUCUAGAAAGUUAAUUAAAAAUAAAUUGUAUAAAUUCCACAGCAACAAAUUGUUUAAAAAACAAAGUUCUUAACAUGAAAUGUUUAACCACCUUUUUGGGUAAAUCUAAGAGGAGGAGCUCUGACCAGACUUCCAUGGAAUAACUGCAUGUCUAAACAGAAGAAUGGUCCAGGAAGGAAGAAGCUGAGAACUACCAUUUCGGGAGACUCUGAAGGGUAUAUGACUGAGACAGCACACCAAGAACACAGAAGCCGUUGCAGCUUCACCCCUUUGUCACAAGCUGAACUGAACAUAAUUUUGAACAGCCACUGUAUCAAGAACUAAGGUGAAACAGUGAUGGGAUAUAGCACUCCUUGAGAGUUUCUAUGUGACUGCAACACUAGAUGAUCAAUUAAAAGUCGUGUUUAUCAGGUCUCUACCUACUGCUCUUACCUUGUAAUUGAGUACAUCCUGAAAAAAACUACUUCAUACUUUUUCCAAACCCAGCUUUUGUAUACCAUCUCACUACAAAUGGCACUUAUAUGCAACUUUUCAUCUAAUAAAUGCUUUACAAAGAUAUGUUAACAUCACUAACACUGUUCUGGACCUUUGGGAACUUAGGACAAACAGAUGUUUUAACUAACUUGUCCAAAGUUGCAGGAGAGCAGAAAAAGGUGUUGGAUCAUGUGCCUCUCCUUUUCCCCUCUCCAGUUUUAAGUGCAGUCCCAUGCUGAACCAAAAGAUACUGGUCUCAGACUCUCUUUCCCCCACAUCCCUGCUAAAACUCUGGGGGAAUCAGGGCAUCAUUAGGACUCUUCAGCAGAUUUGCCUUUGGUGGGUGACUAGUCAGGGAUUAGCAACAACAGACUAAUUACGGUCAGUUGUGAGAAGGGCAAAUCAAUGGUCCAAAAGAAAAUGAGUAGUAAGGAACCCAAGCCAAAUUUAAACCUUCACUUCUGUGCAUUCUGUGAACUAUUCUGGAACUGAGCUUAACUCUCCUCUCUUCUAAGCUUAAUUGCCUUUUUCCACAUGGAUCCCAUAAAACUGUGAAGUGGCAAAUCAUUCAGACAGAAAAACAAUGGCUGUAUUUGUAUAUAAAUCAGCACUUAUUGUAUAGUACACAUGACUAUAUAACCAAUACUAGCGCAUCUGAUUUUUUUUCAUUACUUUCACUACAAAAAGUGUGAUGGCAAGCUGAAGUUUGAUUUUAAAUGAGUACCAACUUCUCU
This is a non-coding RNA of Phalacrocorax carbo (great cormorant), 3772 nucleotides long. The record is from RefSeq and is a predicted model, not a curated record. Lineage: Eukaryota; Metazoa; Chordata; Aves; Suliformes; Phalacrocoracidae.